RNAcentral lists this ribosomal RNA (316 nucleotides) under Dikerogammarus haemobaphes. RNAcentral describes it as "partial 16S ribosomal RNA". The record is from RNAcentral. Lineage: Eukaryota; Metazoa; Arthropoda; Malacostraca; Amphipoda; Gammaridae.
UUUUAACGGGGUGCGGUAUUUUGACCGUGCUAAGGUAGCAUAAUCAAUUGUUUUUUAAUUGAAAACUAGUAUGAACGGUUUAAUUUACUUAAUUAGUUUGUAAUUUUUAAUAGUAAGUUAAAUAUAAAGUAAGAAUUCUUUAAUAAAUUAGGGGACGAUAAGACCCUAAAAGCUUUAUGAUUGGCAUUUAAUUAGUGAUAGCGGUGUUAUUAAUUCACUGGGGCAGUGAGUUUAGGUAUAUUUAAGUAUAAUUAAAAGCUCCUUUAAAUAAAGAUUUCAUGUAUAAGUUACUUUAGGGAUAACAGUGCAAUAUAUU